This 513-nucleotide ribosomal RNA is filed under the name uncultured bacterium. RNAcentral's name for it is "bacterial SSU rRNA". It matches the Rfam family "Bacterial small subunit ribosomal RNA", at positions 9 to 517 of the family's 1533-position model. The record is from RNAcentral.
GAGUUUGAUCGUGGCUCAGAUUGAACGCUGGCGGCAGGCCUAACACAUGCAAGUCGAGCGGUAGAGAGAAGCUUGCUUCUCUUGAGAGCGGCGGACGGGUGAGUAAUGCCUAGGAAUCUGCCUGGUAGUGGGGGAUAACGCUCGGAAACGGACGCUAAUACCGCAUACGUCCUACGGGAGAAAGCAGGGGACCUUCGGGCCUUGCGCUAUCAGAUGAGCCUAGGUCGGAUUAGCUAGUUGGUGAGGUAAUGGCUCACCAAGGCGACGAUCCGUAACUGGUCUGAGAGGAUGAUCAGUCACACUGGAACUGAGACACGGUCCAGACUCCUACGGGAGGCAGCAGUGGGGAAUAUUGGACAAUGGGCGAAAGCCUGAUCCAGCCAUGCCGCGUGUGUGAAGAAGGUCUUCGGAUUGUAAAGCACUUUAAGUUGGAGGAAGGGCAGUAAAUUAAUAACUUUGCUGUUUUGACGUUACCGACAGAAUAAGCACCGGCUAACUCUGUGCCAACAGCCG